Molecule: unclassified non-coding RNA, 208 nt
Filed under: Hevea brasiliensis (rubber tree)
Lineage: Eukaryota; Viridiplantae; Streptophyta; Magnoliopsida; Malpighiales; Euphorbiaceae
Source: RNAcentral
AUAGAGCAGAUUAUUAUUUCAUCUUGAUAGACAACAGGAAAAACUACUCUAUUUAUCUCAAGUAGAAUAUAAACAAAGUCUUCUUUAAUGGGACAAAAUCUUAUGCACUAAAUCAACCUAAUUACCAGACUCCCUAACCAUUUGCAGUUCUCGGCAACCAAAAUAAAAGGUGGCAGCCAAACUGAUAGGUUAACAAGAGCAAAAGAAA